RNAcentral lists this ribosomal RNA (801 nucleotides) under uncultured Klebsiella sp. RNAcentral's name for it is "bacterial SSU rRNA". It matches the Rfam family "Bacterial small subunit ribosomal RNA", at positions 8 to 794 of the family's 1533-position model. Lineage: Bacteria; Pseudomonadati; Pseudomonadota; Gammaproteobacteria; Enterobacterales; Enterobacteriaceae. The record is from RNAcentral.
AGAGUUUGAUCCUGGCUCAGAUUGAACGCUGGCGGCAGGCCUAACACAUGCAAGUCGAACGGUAGCACAGAGAGCUUGCUCUCGGGUGACGAGCGGCGGACGGGUGAGUAAUGUCUGGGAAACUGCCUGAUGGAGGGGGAUAACUACUGGAAACGAUAGCUAAUACCGCAUAACGUCGCAAGACCAAAGAGGGGGACCUUCGGGCCUCUUGCCAUCAGAUGUGCCCAGAUGGGAUUAGCUAGUAGGUGGGGUAACGGCUCACCUAGGCGACGAUCCCUAGCUGGUCUGAGAGGAUGACCAGCCACACUGGAACUGAGACACGGUUCAGACUCCUACGGGAGGCAGCAGUGGGGAAUAUUGCACAAUGGGCGCAAGCCUGAUGCAGCCAUGCCGCGUGUAUGAAGAAGGCCUUCGGGUUGUAAAGUACUUUCAGCGGGGAGGAAGGCGAUAAGGUUAAUAACCUUGUCGAUUGACGUUACCCGCAGAAGAAGCACCGGCUAACUCCGUGCCAGCAGCCGCGGUAAUACGGAGGGUGCAAGCGUUAAUCGGAAUUACUGGGCGUAAAGCGCACGCAGGCGGUCUGUCAAGUCGGAUGUGAAAUCCCCGGGCUCAACCUGGGGAACUGCAUUCGAAACUGGCAGGCUGGAGUCUUGUAGAGGGGGGGUAGAAUCUCCAGGUGUAGCGGUGAAAAUGCGUAGAGAUCUGGAGGAAUACCGGGUGGCGAAAGGCGGCCCCUGGACAAAGACUGACGCUCAGGUGCNAAAGCNUGGGGAGCAAACAGGAUUAGAUACCCCUGGUAGU